Molecule: long non-coding RNA, 1087 nt
Filed under: Sus scrofa (pig)
Lineage: Eukaryota; Metazoa; Chordata; Mammalia; Artiodactyla; Suidae
Description: lncRNA (ENSSSCG00050066068.1)
Source: RNAcentral
AUGAAAAAAGCAAUUAAGGAUAAGAAAAUGUUAACAAAUUGUUCCAAUUAUAUUCAGAGACAAGAACACAAAAACAGAAAUAACAUCCAAUCACUUUCCAGACAGAGAAAGAAACAAAAGGCCUGUAUCUGGGUCACGAGUAGCUCGCUGCAAAAGCUGCAUGUAGGUGAGGUUCUCGUGCGUGUUGGGGUCGAAGAAGCCCUUGGUGUCGUCGCUGGGGUCCUCCAGCACGCGGCUCAUCUCCUCGUCGAAGUAGCCGCGCUGGUAGGCCACGUCCACGGGCACGCGGUGGCUGCGCACGGGGUCGAUGACGCCGCCCGUGGCGAUCUGGGCCUCCAGCAGGCGGAUGCCGUGCUCGCGGACGAUGAGGUCCUUCUUCAUGGCCUGGAAGAGGGAGAUCUGCUCCCCGGUGUAGGGGUCCGUGUAGCCGGUGACGGCGCGCUCGGCCGACAGCAGCUUCUCCCGCAGCUCGCCGCCCACCACGCCCGCGGCCACCGCCUCCUCCACGGACAGCUUCUGGUUGCGCACGGGGUCGAUGACGCCGCCCGUGGCGAUCUGGGCCUCCAGCAGGCGGAUGCCGUGCUCGCGGACGAUGAGGUCCUUCUUCAUGGCCUGGAAGAGGGAGAUCUGCUCCCCGGUGUAGGGGUCCGUGUAGCCGGUGACGGCGCGCUCGGCCGACAGCAGCUUCUCCCGCAGCUCGCCGCCCACCACGCCCGCGGCCACCGCCUCCUCCACGGACAGCUUCUGGUUGCGCACGGGGUCGAUGACGAAGCCGGUGGCCGCCUGCGCCUCCAGCAGCACCAGGGCCGUGCCGGGCCGCAGGACGCCCUUCCACAUGGCCUGGUAGAUGCUCAUCUUCUCCUGGCGCCCGGGCUCGUCCUUGGCCGGCACCAGCACGCCCGCGAUGCAGCUGGUGCCCUCCAGGUAGCGCUUCACCGCGUCCAUCUCCGUCACCUCCUGCAGGGUCCUGGUGCCCUGGGCCAGGUCACGCAGGGUCUCGGGGCCCAGGAUCCCGGACGUGUGCAGCUCGGACGCGGACACCUGGCGCCUCAGGCCCCGGAAGGACACCUUGCUCAGCCGCUCCUCC